CAUUGCUGGUGAAAAGAGUCGAUUGUAGUAGUUCAAUUGCGGGAUCUAUGAGGAGGAGGAGGAUUCGGUGGAGAUUCAGAAUAGAAAGGGAAAUCAAAAUGUUGUGAUGUGAAAAUUAGUCUGCGGUUCCAAUUUUAUUUUAGAGCGAUCGUCUUCUAGAUUAUUUGUUGGGGGGCAUUGACAUUUUUUAUUGACUGGGG
This 200-nucleotide unclassified non-coding RNA is filed under the name Hevea brasiliensis (rubber tree). Lineage: Eukaryota; Viridiplantae; Streptophyta; Magnoliopsida; Malpighiales; Euphorbiaceae. The record is from RNAcentral.